RNAcentral lists this long non-coding RNA (714 nucleotides) under Callithrix jacchus (white-tufted-ear marmoset). RNAcentral's name for it is "lncRNA (ENSCJAG00000086697.1)". The record is from RNAcentral. Lineage: Eukaryota; Metazoa; Chordata; Mammalia; Primates; Cebidae.
AAUACAGAAAGGAAGAGCACACGCUGUAUCCUAAAUCAUUUGCUUCAUAAUUAGAUCGACGGGGAUGAAAUCUACUGAUAUGGGGAUGAAAGGGGAGAGAGUAAAUCCUGUUUUUUAAAUAUUAAUAUUAACAUGCUUAUCAUCACUCAAAUGGACACAUCAGGUACAUGAGAAUGUAUCACUCAGAAAAAAAUUUAAAAAACCAUUAUCUAUGCUAAUUAUUUCAGAAGAGGAAUGUAAUGUAUAAGCAGCUAGACUCUUGAAUUUUAUACCUUUUUAAAGAAUAAAAGUUGUGAAAAAUUUGCAUUGAUUUUCACUGAAGACAAAUACAACGCAGAAUUAUCAACAGCACCCUAUGGGAUACUAAUACAAAUGUCUCUUUACUAGACUGAGCAGAAGGAGGAAGAGGCAGGGUUGAUAGUGCUGUCUCCAGUGGCAGAGGUGAAAGAAAAUCUCAUCAUUUCCGUCUACAGUCUGCAGUAUAAUGUCAAACGAGAGAGGAUCAUUUUGAGGCAUCAUUUUCUCUUUUCUGAUAUUAAUGAGAAGGUUUCAGUAAUUCAGCAUUAAGCCAUGUGUUUGCUGUAAAUUCUUUGUAGAUACUUUUUAUCAUGUUAAGUUUGAUCUUUUAUAAUUCUAAUUGGCUAAGGGCUUAAAAUGAUUAUGUUAAACUUUAUCAAAUGCUUUCUCUGUCUCUUCAUGUGGUCAUAUGAUAUU